Molecule: ribosomal RNA, 1478 nt
Filed under: uncultured bacterium
Lineage: Bacteria
Description: partial 16S ribosomal RNA
Rfam family: Bacterial small subunit ribosomal RNA
Source: RNAcentral
AGAGUUUGAUCAUGGCUCAGAUUGAACGCUGGCGGAAUGCUUUACACAUGCAAGUCGAACGGCAGCACGGGGGCAACCCUGGUGGCGAGUGGCGAACGGGUGAGUAAUACAUCGGAACGUGCCCAGUCGUGGGGGAUAACUACGCGAAAGCGUAGCUAAUACCGCAUACGAUCUACGGAUGAAAGCGGGGGAUCGCAAGACCUCGCGCGAUUGGAGCGGCCGAUGGCAGAUUAGGUAGUUGGUGAGGUAAAGGCUCACCAAGCCUGCGAUCUGUAGCUGGUCUGAGAGGACGACCAGCCACACUGGAACUGAGACACGGUCCAGACUCCUACGGGAGGCAGCAGUGGGGAAUUUUGGACAAUGGGCGCAAGCCUGAUCCAGCCAUUCCGCGUGAGUGAAGAAGGCCUUCGGGUUGUAAAGCUCUUUCGGCAGGGAAGAAACGGUUCAGGUUAAUACCCUGGGCUAAUGACGGUACCUGAAGAAGAAGCACCGGCUAACUACGUGCCAGCAGCCGCGGUAAUACGUAGGGUGCGAGCGUUAAUCGGAAUUACUGGGCGUAAAGCGUGCGCAGGCGGUUUUGUAAGACAGAUGUGAAAUCCCCGGGCUUAACCUGGGAACUGCGUUUGUGACUGCAAGACUCGAGUACGGCAGAGGGGGGGUGGAAUUCCACGUGUAGCAGUGAAAUGCGUAGAGAUGUGGAGGAACACCGAUGGCGAAGGCAGCCCCCUGGGUCGAUACUGACGCUCAUGCACGAAAGCGUGGGGAGCAAACAGGAUUAGAUACCCUGGUAGUCCACGCCCUAAACGAUGCCAACUAGGUGUUGGGGGAAGGAGACUUCCUUAGUACCGUAGCUAACGCGUGAAGUUGGCCGCCUGGGGAGUACGGUCGCAAGAUUAAAACUCAAAGGAAUUGACGGGGACCCGCACAAGCGGUGGAUGAUGUGGAUUAAUUCGAUGCAACGCGAAAAACCUUACCUGCCCUUGACAUGCCAGGAACUUGCCAGAGAUGGCUUGGUGCCCGAAAGGGAGCCUGGACACAGGUGCUGCAUGGCCGUCGUCAGCUCGUGUCGUGAGAUGUUUGGUUAAGUCCAUCAACGAGCGCAACCCUUAUAGUUAGUUGUAUUUUUCUAGCUAGACUGCCCUGGUAACAGGGAGGAAGGGGGGGAUGAUGUCAGGUCAGUAUUUCCCUUACGUCUGGGGCUACAAACACGCUACAAUGGCCAGUACAAAGGGCAGCCAAGUCGCGAGACGGAGCAAACCCCAUCAAAGCUGGUCUCAGUUCGGAUAGCAGGCUGAAACUCGCCUGCUUGAAGCCGGAAUCGCUAGUAACGGUGAGUCAGCACAUCACCGUGAAUACGUUCCCGGGUCUUGUACACACCGCCCGUCAAACCAUGAAGGUCGCCAAUACCUGACGUGUUAGCUUUGCCUAGCCCUAAGGUAGGGGAGAUGAUUGGGGUUAAGUCGUAACAAGGUAACCGU